This 885-nucleotide ribosomal RNA is filed under the name uncultured marine group I thaumarchaeote. RNAcentral describes it as "SSU rRNA". It matches the Rfam family "Archaeal small subunit ribosomal RNA", at positions 13 to 904 of the family's 1478-position model. The record is from RNAcentral. Lineage: Archaea; Thermoproteati; Nitrososphaerota.
CCCGCCGGACCUGACUGCUAUCGGAUUGAUACUAAGCCAUGCGAGUCUUUGCAGUAAUGCAAGGCAUACGGCUCAGUAACACGUAGUCAACCUACCCUAUGGACGAGAAUAAUCUCGGGAAACUGAGUAUAAUGCCCGAUAGAACAUUAUGCCUGGAAUGGUUUAUGUUCCAAAUGAUUUAUCGCCGUAGGAUGGGACUGCGGCCUAUCAGUUUGUUGGUGAGGUAAUGGCCCACCAAGACUAUUACAGGUACGGGCUCUGAGAGGAGUAGCCCGGAGAUGGGUACUGAGACACGGACCCAGGCCCUAUGGGGCGCAGCAGGCGAGAAAACUUUGCAAUGUGCGAAAGCACGACAAGGUUAAUCCGAGUGGUUUCUGCUAAAGGAACCUUUUGUUAGUCCUAAAAACACUAACGAAUAAGGGGUGGGCAAGUUCUGGUGUCAGCCGCCGCGGUAAAACCAGCACCUCAAGUGGUCAGGAUGAUUAUUGGGCCUAAAGCAUCCGUAGCCUGCUCUGUAAGUUUUCGGUUAAAUCUGUAUGCUCAACAUACAGGCCGCCGGAAAUACUGCAGGGCUAGGGAGUGGGAGAGGUAGACGGUACUCGGGAGGAAGUGGUAAAAUGCUUUGAUCUUUCGAUGACCACCUGUGGCGAAGGCGGUCUACCAGAACACGUCCGACGGUGAGGGAUGAAAGCUGGGGGAGCAAACCGGGUUAGAUACCCGGGUAGUCCCAGCCGUAAACUAUGCAAACUCAGUGAUGCAUUGGCUUGUGGCCAAUGCAGUGUUGCAGGGAAGCCGUUAAGUUUGCCGCCUGGGAAGUACGUACGCAAGUAUGAAACUUAAAGGAAUUGGCGGGGGAGCACCACAAGGGGUGAAGCCUGCGGUUCA